This 210-nucleotide ribosomal RNA is filed under the name Delftia sp. 5(27-11). RNAcentral describes it as "partial 16S ribosomal RNA". It matches the Rfam family "Bacterial small subunit ribosomal RNA", at positions 321 to 526 of the family's 1533-position model. The record is from RNAcentral. Lineage: Bacteria; Pseudomonadati; Pseudomonadota; Betaproteobacteria; Burkholderiales; Comamonadaceae.
GGGGCACGGGGGGCCUACGGGAGGCAGCAGUGGGGAAUUUUGGACAAUGGGCGAAAGCCUGAUCCAGCAAUGCCGCGUGCAGGAUGAAGGCCUUCGGGUUGUAAACUGCUUUUGUACGGAACGAAAAAGCUCCUUCUAAUACAGGGGGCCCAUGACGGUACCGUAAGAAUAAGCACCGGCUAACUACGUGCCAGCAGCCGCGGUAAUAAU